UAAUGUAAUACUACACUCGCAUAUUAUGUACAAAGUGAGUAGAAUUUCUUAUAGUGACUUUAAUUUUUAUAGUUAGAGUUAUACGACAAUUGGCAUUUGACAUAAGAAUCCUACGUCCAUUAAAAAAGAACAAAGAAAGCCAAUUGAAGCGUGAAUUUAAGAUACGCAUCGUUAAGUAUAUGCAAAGUUAAGUAUGCACAGAAGUUAAAGUGCAAUAUAUUAUAAAUUGUAUGCUUGCUGCGUUACUUACUGUAAAAUAAUGAAUACAACACAAGAACAAAAAGAAAAGAUGUUGCAAUGGAUGAAAUUAAAUCUAGAUGUAGCAAGAGGUAGAUUGCGUAGGAAAGAAGAAAGCAAGAAGCAAAUGGCAACAUUACUAGAAGACUUAUCAAACACAAUGAAUUCCGCUCACAACGGUCUAGUUAAAACCAGUUCUGAAUGGUAUAAGGUAUAAAUCAAUUUUCUUUUUCCUAUCAUUCUUAUCAAUAAAUAUAUACAUUUCAAUUUAUAUAAUUUUAUUUGAGUUAUAGUUACAUAAUACAUAUUUUAACCGUGCCUAAUACAUAUUUAAACCUACGGAUCGAAAAGAAGACGCAGGUCCGACUGCCACGUAAAAUGUGUUAAUGUAACAUACUUGUUUUUACAGUGUAGGUUAAAUUAAAUUAAAAGUAGCUUAUUUUAUGUUUCAAGACCUGGAAGGAUUGGAAAAUGUACAUCUUAAAGAAGGAAACAAAGCGAAGAAUUUAUAGUGUACAAACAGGUGGAGGCUCACCAAAACAGAUUUUUUUUCUGAUUUGAAAGAAAGAUUAUUACAGUUUUUAACUGCGGAAGCAGCUGGAUUAGAAGAUAUUCCACAAGGAGGGAUAUACUUAAAUAAAAAUAUAAAUUUUGGUUCGCAAAAAUCUAAUAAUAGCAAUAUAAUGGAAAGAGAAUGUUCAUACUUUGAAGAAAAUGAAAAUGUCGCACCGUAUAAAAGAUUACGUCCAAAUGUAAACACAAGUGCCACUAACUUUAAAGAACCGAAAUUACAAUCAAUGACUAAUAAAAUGAUUUUAUUGCAAGAAGACAAAAUAACAUUAAAAUAAGAAGAGAUACAUAUACAAUGUGAGCUUUUGGAAAUCCACAGAUCAGCGUUAGGUGAAUUGCAAAAAAUACGGAGUAUCUUGGACACAUUUGGUUCUUUGCAAUAAGCAUAAAAGUAGUUUUAGAUUAUACAUAGCAAAAUGUUUUUUUUUUCAUUUAAGUGUUAAUUCUUUUUUUUUUUUUUUAAUUAGACAUAUAUUUUUCUGUUAUGUUUAGUUGUUUAUAACAUAACAGAGCUUGUUUAUAUGUCAAAAUAAUAUAUUUAUGUUUACGUAAUAUAUAAAAACUUUAUUUAAACAUAUGACUGCAAUCGAAAGUACAAUAAUUUGUUAUAAAAAUAUUAUUUUUAAAUAAUUAGUAAAAGUAAUGAAAAUAUAUGUGAUGUUAUUUAGUUCUACAUUACAGUUUAGAUUUAUAUAUUGCAGCAGUA
Odontomachus brunneus is the source of this 1513-nucleotide long non-coding RNA. RefSeq lists it as uncharacterized. The record is from RefSeq and is a predicted model, not a curated record. NCBI's taxonomy places the organism in Eukaryota, Metazoa, Arthropoda, Insecta, Hymenoptera, Formicidae. The transcript has 4 exons.